ACUCAGUUGGUAGAGCAAGAGACUCUUAAUCUCAGGGUCGUGGGUUUGAGCCCCACAUUGGGUG
RNAcentral lists this transfer RNA (64 nucleotides) under Cricetulus griseus (Chinese hamster). It matches the Rfam family "tRNA", at positions 10 to 71 of the family's 71-position model. From Rfam's summary of the family: Transfer RNA (tRNA) molecules are approximately 80 nucleotides in length. Their secondary structure includes four short double-helical elements and three loops (D, anti-codon, and T loops). Lineage: Eukaryota; Metazoa; Chordata; Mammalia; Rodentia; Cricetidae. The record is from Rfam by way of RNAcentral.